ACCAUCCUGGCUUUAGCCCCUUCUGCUUCGUCCCUCGCAUCUGCUUCUUCUAGGCUUCGUUCUUUUUGGAUCUGGAUGGGAUUUGCUUCAAUCUGCAGAUCGUUGGAGGAAACAGGCAUCAUGGCGGCGAUUUGCUUCGGGCGUUGUCGUGACCGUCAUGGAUGCCAAGCUCUUGCAAGCUUCAAUUCCCAACGCUUCGGCCCACAACGCCACUAGGCCUCCAAGACCCACUCUCGAUUCGAACAAUUUUUUCCGACCAAAUCCCUGAAGAAAACUGCUCCAUCCUCUCCAAGUUUCUUCUUCUUCUGCAACCUCUCCCAUUAGUGAGUACUCCAUGCAGCUCAAUGCUUCUCGUAUAAAGUUCUUCAGUCUCAAAAUGAUGUGGUCAACUCCAUGAAGGAGGCAGCACCCAAGGAGCUUCUGAAUGUGAGCCAAGUAAAAUGAUAAUUAUGUGUCCUAUGAGAAAAGUAAAAUGAUAAUUCAAAUUUUGAUUAGAAAAGUAGUAUUAAGGACAAAGAAUUGCGUGCCCCAGCAUGUGAUGCUCUUAUCUAUUUCCUAUCAAGUCCACAGUUUGAUGCAGAUGCAAGGCUUUGGAUGCAGAUGCAGGGCUUUUGAUUAGAAAAGUAGUAGUAAGGACAAAGAAUUUAGGUGCAAAUUCAGAGCUUUGGAGUUUGAGUGUUGUUUUGAUAAAUUAUUAAUAAAUAAAUCGAAAAGCUUGGAGCUAAAUUAAUUAAUUGUUUGUCUAUAUAUGUACUUUGCAAUGACUCUGCAAUGGCAGUAGUCUGGUGCACUGGGUUCAGUUGUU
Long non-coding RNA from Pyrus x bretschneideri (Chinese white pear), 805 nucleotides. RefSeq lists it as uncharacterized. The record is from RefSeq and is a predicted model, not a curated record. The transcript is spliced from 2 exons. NCBI's taxonomy places the organism in Eukaryota, Viridiplantae, Streptophyta, Magnoliopsida, Rosales, Rosaceae.